RNAcentral lists this ribosomal RNA (443 nucleotides) under uncultured bacterium. RNAcentral's name for it is "partial 16S ribosomal RNA". It matches the Rfam family "Bacterial small subunit ribosomal RNA", at positions 338 to 795 of the family's 1533-position model. The record is from RNAcentral.
CCUACGGGAGGCAGCAGUGGGGAAUAUUGGGCAAUGGGCGCAAGCCUGACCCAGCAACGCCGCGUGAAGGAAGAAGGCCCUCGGGUUGUAAACUUCUUUUGUCAGGGACGAAACAAAUGACGGUACCUGACGAAUAAGCCACGGCUAACUACGUGCCCGCAGCCGUGGUAAUACGUAGGUGGCAAGCGUUAUCCGGAUUUACUGGGUGUAAAGGGCGUGUAGGCGGGAGGGCAAGUCCGAUUUGAAAUUCCAGGGCUCAACCCUGGAACUGCAUUUGAAACUGUUGUUCUUGAGUGAUGGGGAGGAAGGCGGAAUUCCGUGGGUAGCGGGGAAAUGCGUAGAUAUACGGAGGAACACCAGUGGCGAAGGCGGCCUGCUGGACAGUAACUGACGCUGAGGCGCGAAAGCGUGGGAAGCAAACAGGAUUAGAUACCCUGGUAGUC